RNAcentral lists this unclassified non-coding RNA (1558 nucleotides) under Hevea brasiliensis (rubber tree). The record is from RNAcentral. Lineage: Eukaryota; Viridiplantae; Streptophyta; Magnoliopsida; Malpighiales; Euphorbiaceae.
UCUGAGUCUCUGAUAAAAGAAAAUCCAUAGCAGACGCACCAUGGCAGCAGCCUCCACCAAUUCCAUUUCCAUAUCUUACUUCCUUCUUCCAGCUUUACUUCUUCUUCCUUUUCUCUUCUUUCUCCUUCCCUCUAACCUCACUACUCCACCAUUAAAUUAUUUCAAGCUCACAGAAGCCAUCCACACCACCCCAUCAUCACCACAACUUCCCCUACAUGGGUUUCUCUCAGCUGCCUCCAUGUAUGAAACCAGCAAAGUCAAGGCCACAACUACUCCUAAAAAAAAGAUCAGAAGUAGCUUGGAGAAAAUUGAACAAGGUUUAGCUAGAGCACGAGCAGCGAUUCGUGAAGCAAUUCGAUCCAGGAACUUCACAUCAUCAGAGAAUCAUACUGACACAUUCAUCCCCAGUGGAUCAAUUUACUUGAAUCCUUAUGCUUUUCACCAAAGUCACAUAGAGAUGGAGAAGAGAUUCAAGGUCUGGUCCUACAGAGAAGGAGAGAGCCCCUUGACCCAUGAAGGCCCAUUAAAUGGUGUCUACUCUAUAGAGGGCCACUUCAUAAGCGAGAUCGAGAGCGAUAAGAGCCCAUUCAAGGCCCAAGUUCCUGAUGAGGCACAUGCGUUCUUCCUCCCUCUCAGUGUAACCUCAAUUAUUCAGUACAUCUACUUGCCUAUCAGAACAAUGGCCGACUACUCUAGGGACCGCCUCCGACGAGUAGUGACAGACUACGUCGACGUUAUAGCAAAUAAGUAUCCUUACUGGAACAGAAGUAAGGGUGCUGACCAUUUCAUGGUUUCUUGUCAUGAUUGGGCACCUGAUGCAUCACUUGCCAAUCCUGAGCUCUUCAACAGCUUCAUCAGAAUCCUUUGCAAUGCCAAUAUUUCAGAAGGGUUCAGGCCCAAGAGAGACGUCCCCAUACCAGAAAUUUUCAUAAACUUUGAAGGACUUAGACCGCCCAAUUUUGGGCAGGGUCCAAACAACCGUUCCAUCCUGGCAUUCUUUGAAGGAAGGGCUCAUGGGUUCAUUAGGGAAAUCCUGUUCAAGCAUUGGAAAAACAAAGAUAAUGAAGUUGUAGUGGAAGAGCACUACCCCAAGGGCUUAGGCUACAGCAAAUCAUUGGGCAGAAGCAAGUAUUGCUUGUGCCCAAGUGGGUAUGAAGUAGCAAGUCCAAGAGUGGUAGAUGCAAUUUACCAAGGGUGUGUGCCAGUGAUAAUUUCUAACAACUAUUCAUUACCCUUCAGUGACGUGCUUAAUUGGAGCAAAUUCUCCAUUGAAAUUCCAGUUGGAAAGAUACCAGAAAUUAAAAGCAUCUUGAAAGGAAUUUCAAAUAGGAAGUACUUAAGGAUGUAUAAAAGGGUGAAGAGGGUGCAAAGGCAUUUCGUGCUCAACAGGCCUGCCAAGCCAUAUGAUGUAACUUACAUGGUGCUUCACUCGCUUUGGCUCAGGAGGCUUAACUUCAAGGUGGUAGAAUGAUGUGUAUCCCCAUCAAAUAGACAAAGGGUGAAAGAAUACUAUAUUCAAUUAUGUAAUUAAGAAACAAGUAAACUAAAAAGAAAAAAG